GGCUUAGAGUUUGAUCAUGGCUCAGGACGAACGCUGGCGGCGUGCUUCAUACAUGCAAGUCGAACGAGAAUCUGACUUCGGUCAGAGGAAAGUGGCGGACGGGUGAGUAAAAUGUAGAGAAUCUGCCUAUGAGUGGGGGACAACAUUGGGAAACCGAUGCUAAUACCGCAUAUGAGUAUAUUUGAGAUAAUAUACUUGAAAACUGAGGUGCUCAUAGAUGAGUCUGCAUCUGAUUAGCUAGUUGGGGGUGUAAUGGACCACCAAGGCGACGAUCAGUAGCUGGUUUGAGAGGAUGAUCAGCCACAAUGGGGCUGAGACACGGCCCAUACUCCUACGGGAGGCAGCAGUAGGGAAUUUUGCGCAAUGGGGGGAACCCUGACGCAGCAACGCCGCGUGAUUGAAGAAGCCCUUCGGGGUGUAAAGAUCUGUCAGUGGGGACGAAAGAUGACGGUACCCACAGAGGAAGCACCGGCUAACUCCGUGCCAGCAGCCGCGGUAAUACGGGGGGUGCAAGCGUUGUCCGGAAUCAUUGGGCGUAAAGAGUUCGUAGGUGGUAAGUUAAGUCUGGUGUUAAAUUCUGAAGCUCAACUUCAGUAGAGCACUGGAUACUGGCGAACUAGAAUGCGGUAGAGGUAAAGG
This 639-nucleotide ribosomal RNA is filed under the name uncultured bacterium. RNAcentral's name for it is "bacterial SSU rRNA". It matches the Rfam family "Bacterial small subunit ribosomal RNA", at positions 1 to 663 of the family's 1533-position model. The record is from RNAcentral.